GACGAACGCUGGCGGCGUGCUUAACACAUGCAAGUCGAACGGAAAGGCCCUGCUUUUGUGGGGUGCUCGAGUGGCGAACGGGUGAGUAACACGUGAGUAACCUGCCCUUGACUUUGGGAUAACUUCAGGAAACUGGGGCUAAUACCGGAUAGGAGCUCCUGCUGCAUGGUGGGGGUUGGAAAGUUUCGGCGGUUGGGGAUGGACUCGCGGCUUAUCAGCUUGUUGGUGGGGUAGUGGCUUACCAAGGCUUUGACGGGUAGCCGGCCUGAGAGGGUGACCGGCCACAUUGGGACUGAGAUACGGCCCAGACUGCUACGGGAGGCAGCAGUGGGGAAUAUUGCACAAUGGGCGGAAGCCUGAUGCAGCAACGCCGCGUGCGGGAUGACGGCCUUCGGGUUGUAAACCGCUUUCGCCUGUGACGAAGCGUGAGUGACGGUAAUGGGUGAAGAAGCACCGGCUAACUACGUG
This 468-nucleotide ribosomal RNA is filed under the name uncultured bacterium. Its description in RNAcentral is "partial 16S ribosomal RNA". It matches the Rfam family "Bacterial small subunit ribosomal RNA", at positions 28 to 507 of the family's 1533-position model. The record is from RNAcentral.